RNAcentral lists this ribosomal RNA (450 nucleotides) under uncultured bacterium. Its description in RNAcentral is "bacterial SSU rRNA". It matches the Rfam family "Bacterial small subunit ribosomal RNA", at positions 354 to 796 of the family's 1533-position model. The record is from RNAcentral.
GUGGGGAAUUUUGGACAAUGGGGGCAACCCUGAUCCAGCGACGCCGCGUGUGUGAAGAAGGCCUGCGGGUUGUAAAGCACUUUCGUUGGGAACGAAAUAUGCCGACCUAACACGUCGGUAGGCUGACGUUACCCAAACAAGAAGCACCGGCUAACUCUGUGCCAGCAGCCGCGGUAAUACAGAGGGUGCGAGCGUUAAUCGGAAUUACUGGGCGUAAAGCGCACGCAGGCGGCUCUGCAAGUCAGGUGUGAAAUCCCCGGGCUCAACCUGGGAACUGCACCUGGGACUGCAUGGCUAGAGUAUGGAAGAGGAAGGCGGAAUUCCCGGUGUAGCGGUGAAAUGCGUAGAUAUCGGGAGGAACAUCAGUGGCGAAGGCGGCCUUCUGGUCCAAUACUGACGCUCAGGUGCGAAAGCGUGGGGAGCAAACAGGAUUAGAAACCCCAGUAGUCC